Molecule: small nucleolar RNA, 93 nt
Organism: Dendrobium catenatum
Lineage: Eukaryota; Viridiplantae; Streptophyta; Magnoliopsida; Asparagales; Orchidaceae
Product: small nucleolar RNA R64/Z200 family
Exons: 1
Source: RefSeq, a predicted model, not a curated record
GUUUUGCUGUGAUGAAUUAUGAAAUACACAUGUCAGGCUUCAGAGGCGUUUUGUGCGCCAAUGAGAAGAAAAUUUCAUUGUUCUGAGCAAAAU